CAUAUUACUGGCUUCUCUUCAGAGUUGUCAAGCCAGCAGAGGAUUUUGGUUCAAAGGCCAGAGAAAAGACAGAUAAUUAGACUUAACUCUUCCUUUUCUUCAUAUAACGAAAAAGUUAAAAUAUUUACAUAAUGAACAAAGUUGCAAUGAUCUUUCUUUUCAUUUUUGUAUUUUUAAUGGACUGUCUGCUUCAUUUGAACAUGAUUUAUUCAGGUGAGUAAAAGUUAACUGAAGAACUAGUAGGCUUGAAAAGUUACAUUAGCCAAAGGGGAAGUAAAAUUGUAUACAAGGGUAAUUAUUUUUCACUGUUAGAGGUUUUCAAGACAGUUAACCAUCUCAAAUAUUUUGCAGCACCCAUAAAAUUGAAUCAAUCACCAGCCAAACCAAAUGAAAACAAUAGCAGUCAUCAACAUAGCGGAUUUCCAUCAAAGUACUCAGGCAUGAUGAGAAAUGAGACUGUUGUUCUAGAGGGAAAAGUCUGGAAAAAUUCUGAUAUAGCAUAUGCUAUACCUAAACGAUACAUCAAAUGGGAUAUAGGGAAUAUGGACUUCUAAAAUUCACAAAUAGUCCUCUAAUCAAAUCUCUUUUAGACAGUACCACACAAAUCAAAACAAUAAAUGCAUCAUUUAAUUAGCAAAGUAUGGCUACUCUUCUUUCAACCAAAUAAACUGCAAGUGUCAUACUGA
RNAcentral lists this long non-coding RNA (686 nucleotides) under Capra hircus (goat). RNAcentral describes it as "lncRNA (ENSCHIG00000003928.1)". Lineage: Eukaryota; Metazoa; Chordata; Mammalia; Artiodactyla; Bovidae. The record is from RNAcentral.